UGUCAAGCUGGAACCGGCAGGGGACCCAUUUACAACAACAAUCUCUUCUGAAAACAAGAAUCAGCAUGACAUACUGCACCCAGGUUACUUUAUCUCAUCUCGUAAUCACACACUACUUUGAAACAAGGAAUUACCGCAGAAGACACCAACAAAAAUGUGCUGUUUUGUUUCGACAAAAUUCAGGUCGCAAAAAAUUGUGCUGCUGAGUGUGUCAGUGUGUGAAGGGAGGUGCGAGAAGCGGAAAAGUGCCGCUCCGGACCCCAGUUAAAACUAAAACAAACAGGACACAUAUAGGUUAUCAGCCCAAAGGGCAUUCUUGCAAUUAACACAAAAAGGAGAAGUAUAUGUGAUAUUAUCAAAAUUUGACGGGUAUUCAUGAUAUUUCGAGAAUGUCCAGGGGUAUGUGCGAUAUUUGCCCUUUUUACAAUUUCUAUAAAUAUUCUUUAUUCUUAUUCUUCAAGCAAACACUUAUUUGAAUUUAAUGAUUUAAAAAUGUAAAAAAAUAAAUUUUAGUUUUACUCAGUUCUUAAAGAAUAUUAAACGGAAAACAAAUUCUUGCUAUGUCCUCUUAGUUAGAUUUAAAAGAUCACAUUAUGAAAUUGAGACUUUAUUUGUGUCAGUUGUUUGAAAUCUAGAUUUGACUCUUUAAUAUUCUAUGCAUUUUCUAGAUUUAGUAUAUUUUUUGUUUUCUAAAAGAUAUUGUCUACUAACUAUAAGUAUAAAAAUUUAAUUUUAAAAAAAUUGGAAAAACUUACAUGUUUUAUUAAUAUAAUUUACAAAUCAUUUUUUAUAAUCAAAUUAGUUUCCAACCUAGUUUACAAAGUGUUGAGCAAACCUUUUUUCAUCACAUAUAUUCUAUAUACUUCUUUAAUUUAACAUCAUAUUUGUGUAUAUACAUAUAUAUGUGAUAGAAAAAAAAUCUUUAUGAAUAUAAAGUGUGGUAUUUUAUUUCUCUUUAUAGCA
RNAcentral lists this long non-coding RNA (963 nucleotides) under Physcomitrium patens. RNAcentral describes it as "long non-coding RNA (PPAT_LNC005695)". The record is from RNAcentral. Lineage: Eukaryota; Viridiplantae; Streptophyta; Bryopsida; Funariales; Funariaceae.